Molecule: long non-coding RNA, 1867 nt
Organism: Pezoporus occidentalis (night parrot)
Lineage: Eukaryota; Metazoa; Chordata; Aves; Psittaciformes; Psittacidae
Exons: 3
Source: RefSeq, a predicted model, not a curated record
CGGCCCGCGCAGCAACCCGGGUGGUGGCUGCGGGAGCUCCCGGCGCGAGUGUUUCCCAAUGGCGGGUUCUGAAAAGCCAUUUUUGAGUGCAGGCGACUGCUCUGUGCCCUGGGCCGGGUGACGGGAAGGCGGUCCUGAGGAGUGCCUGAUCCCCAGGGCCCGCGCAGGGGGAAGGGGGCGCAGACGUUUCUCGUAAGCAGUCAUCAACAGAUUUCCCCUCUCUUGAUGUGAUCUUAAUUUUCAGGAGGUCAGAGAUGUGAUGAACACAGACUGGAAUUUUACGUCCAUGCUAUGACAUAUUAAUAACAAAAUGUUACCUAUCAGUGAAUGGAUAAACGUGAAGCACUUAUUGCCAUACAUACGUCCAAAAUGCUAUCCAGGUGGAUGCAUGAUUUUUUCUGCCCAAGUCGCGGAGGACGUGGUAAUGACACGGGGUUUGCACGGUUUGUCCCGGCAUUCAGCACACAAAAUCCAGGGUGGAUCAAAUGGCUCCGGUUUGUCCGGGCUCAGGUUAAUUGGGGUUCACUAAUGUCUUUGUGCAGUAUGGAGUCUCUGUGUGACAUGAUGAGAUUUCUCACCUUUGGUUUCAGCAUCACCAAAUAUAGUCAUGCUGAGGAGCUUCAGCAUCCAGAUGGGAUGAUGAAUUCUCUGAAUCAACACCAGGAUGUUACUGUCUCAACUCGUAAAGCUCUUGAUCUGUGUUUGGACUAGGACUGGGAUUAUGUAAUGCCAUUUCUGCAGUGGGAGAUACUUCUGAACAGAGAGAUUCACAUGUGGUCCUGAUCCAUGGGUGAGUACAUAAGGAGUUUAGUCUGCAGGUCAUAGGUGUUCACAAUGUUAAACAGUGAUGCUGGGAAGAGUUUUCAGAUCUGAUUUGCAUGUAUUUGAGCACUGGAGACUUUCAGAUGGAACACACAGAAAAGAUGUUAUUAAAUCCCAGUAUUUAUGUCAUUCUGCUUCUUUAUGGGAUUCCUCCCAGGGCAACUAAAUGGUUCCUGUUCUUCCCAAAUUAUUCUUGUUUGUGUAACCUUCAGUAAAGUGUUUUUGGAAGGUUAAAUGUUAUUGUCAUGGAGUUAACAUUGCUCUCCUUCUUAGGAACAGGCAAUUCUAAGAAUUGAUAUAAUGUAUUUAACUACAGUGUUUUUAUAAAUCUUUGCCUGUAUUGAAAGCUGUGCAUAGAUCAUUAAAGUAAUGAUAACUAAGAGGAAGGCUUCAGUACAAAAUGUUACAUUAAAUGUAUCAGAUAUUUCAUUAAUCUCAUUAAUUACCACCUUUAUUAGUGAUUUUAUUCAUUUUUUUUUUCCUGGAGAGACGGUGUCUUGCCUUCCCUGGGUGAAAUACUGGAGGAAUACUGGUUGGCCAGGUUGCUUUAUUGUUCCCAUUCCACUGUCAUUAGAGCUGGUCAGGAAAUGAAUGUCCUGCUCUGUCAAAUGCUUCAAGAAUUGAGACUUCUUACCCUGAAGAAGAAAGUUGUAGAAUUUUUCUUAUUAAAAAAGAAACCCUACCUCACAAUAUGAAUGAAAGCACUCACGUGGUAUGUGAGAUCUCUUUUCAAGUUCCCAUUUUGCGUUUUUUCACUUCAUUGUGUUAUUUUAAAUGUAGAGUGAUCUCUCCUGCCUUUUCCUUAACACAAGAAAUUUUUCAAAGUGGAAGUUUUAUUGAUCAUUAAUUUUCCCACAGCCGCUCCUCAUGUUUCAGCAGAUAACUCUGGACCAGAACCAGCUGUUGUUCCCUGGCUUCAGUUCAAAAUUUCUCCUGAAAAUAAAUACAUAAAAACUCCAUCCUUCCCAUACUAGGGACUCCAUACACAUAACAGGGAAGAAACAUCUGGCUGUAUAAUAGGAAAUAUGCAGAAAGCUAAAGUUUU